This is a long non-coding RNA of Fukomys damarensis (Damara mole-rat), 1874 nucleotides long. NCBI's taxonomy places the organism in Eukaryota, Metazoa, Chordata, Mammalia, Rodentia, Bathyergidae. The record is from Ensembl.
UGCCCACCUAAAUUACUUUCAUUCUCGUUUCCUACUCUUGUUUUAAAUCUCUUAGAGCCUUUCCUAUUUGCAAAAGAUCUAGGGCUGGGGAUUUAGCACAAGGGCCAGGGAUUGAGCUCAGUGGUUCUACCGCCUGUCUCGCAAGCUGAAGGUCCCAAGUCCGAUUGCCGGUACCAAAAUGAAAGAGAGAGAGAGAACUGAGCAUGACAGCACAUGCCUGUAACUCAGCACUUGGGAGGCGGAGACAGGAAGAUUGCCAUGAGUUCUAAGUGAGCACAGGCUGCUUAGUGAGUUCAGGCCGGUCUGAUCUACAAAGGGAGACCCUGCCUCAAAACACAAAAAAGGAGGCAGGGACAAGGGGAAAAAAUGAGAACCAAGGUACAAGAUCCCAAUAAUGAAUGUAACUGUACUGUAUACCUAAAAUGUACCAAUAAACUCAAUGAGGAAAACAAAACAAAACAAAUGUAUGUAUUUUCCCUAUUGUCUAUCUUUUAUUUUGCUCUCUCUAUUUUUUUGAAUCUCUUCUAUAAGAGACAUGUGAUAGUUAAGCUUGGUUGCCUGAUGAUCUAUUUCACUUACCACUGUAAGACCUAAAGUCUCCCUUGCACUCCACGGAGCGGGAGCAGCCGAAAGGGCCUUCACGACGCUGAGUCCUUUAGCCCAACGAUGGCUCCGGAGGCAAGACCCAGGGCCUUACUUCCGGGAGCCUUGAACAGCCCAGAGGGCCUCCACGAUGCUGGGACCUACAGCUCAGCGAGGCUCCGGGAGCUCGACGGAGGAACGAGAGUCGCCCCCCGGGAAGGAACACACCAGGCUCGUUGGUUGUCACUUGUAGGUGUCCAGACUCCGGGUCUCAGAGAGGCUGAACUUCACUACCCAUUGCUCCAGACUCAGCUGCUCAAGAGGCUGAGGCAGAAGAAUCUUCAGUUCAAGGACAGCCUAGGCAACAUAAGAGGUACCUGUCAUAUGAUUGGGGGCUGGUGGGUAGAGCUGCGCUUAGUGGUACAACAGCUGCCUAGCAUGCUGAAGACCCUGUAUUUGAUCACUAAUACUUCCCUCUGCCUAACCUAGGCAGCUGCAGUCACCUGAAGAGGCCACUAGGACACCUCAGGCACCAGGAUGGCUGUUACAGCAUGAGGCUUGCACUUUACUGCCUGGUCUACAAUUUCUUUAAUAGUUUUUGUUUUGUUUUGUUUUUAGUUUUGCUUCCAAAUUGUUCUCUUUUGUCUUUUAUUAUCCUAAAAUUUCAUCUUCAGCUUUAACUCCUUCUCAUCUAAUCUCAUUGUAAAAUUCUUGCUGCACUGGGGAUCAAAGCCAGAGCCUUGCACAUGCUAGGCCACAUUUCAGCCUUUCUUCUUUUUUUUUUCCCUACUUUCUUCUGCCUUCCUAAAAUGGUGUCUUGUAUUGACAUAUAGUAAAUGUCUACUAAAUGCAAUGACUAUACUAUUAAUUACAGAAAAUAAUUAAACAUCAACCUUUAAGUAUCUUUCUUAAUUAGGUAUCUUUUUCAAUAUAUUCAUAUUAAAAGUGAUGUGGUCUUUCUUUUUCUUUUUUUUUUGGUACUGGAGAUCAAAAUCAGAACCUUGCACUUGUGAGGCCGGCAGUGGAACCACUGGGCUAAAUCCCCGAGAUGUGGUCUUUCUUGUGAUUUUAAUCAUCAGAUGCUUACUAAUAUUUUUUCUCUUAAUAUAAAGUUUCUCUCUGCAAAAUCUUGAGGUAGGAAAUUAGCAACAGUUUCUUGAUAAUUUCACUGUUUUUGAAAAUACAUGAGGAGAAGCCAACUUAAGCAAUCACAAUUACACUAAACCAGGCAGAAGUUCUAUUUUCAAUUUUUUAAAAAGGUUUUUGUUUAUUUUGGAUUUUGUUUGUUUUUU